Molecule: RNA transcript, 4038 nt
Organism: Cyprinus carpio (common carp)
Lineage: Eukaryota; Metazoa; Chordata; Actinopteri; Cypriniformes; Cyprinidae
Gene name: mitogen-activated protein kinase kinase kinase 14-like
Exons: 18
Source: RefSeq, a predicted model, not a curated record
CUAUAUGCAUGCUCUAGUGUGUACAUGUAAAAACCAAAGUACACUUUGGGCUUCAGUUAUUUGCGCAUUGAGUAGGAUAUUACGACAGCAUUUUGGAUGUAGGCUUAGAUAUGGAAAUCCACUGACAAGUGACUGACUUGACGUCAGCGAAUUGUGAGGUAAGCCAUCAGUAGAUGAGCGAGAUCUGACCUUUCUCAAUUUGAUGAGGUCUUCAUCACCUCAACGUAUAAAUUGGACAUUUUAAACGCCACUGCUUACCAGGAAAAGCUGUUAAUAUUUGGUUGAGCGAUGUCUGCAUUCCUGCAAGGAAGAAUUAGUAAAAAAAAAAGGGUUAGUUCACCCAAAAAUGAAAAUUCUGUCAUCAUUUACUCACCCUCAUGUAGUUCUGAGACCUAUGAUUUUACCUUUUCUCUGAAACAUAAAAGAUAUUUUAAAGAACACUGGUUUCUCAAAAUAUCUUUUAUUGUCCACAAAGAAAGAAAGAAAGUCAUGCAGGUUUGGAAUGACAUGAGGGUGAGUAAAAGAUGACAGAAUAUUAAUUUGGUGAACUAUGAGAUGAUAACUGCCAGAUGAUAACUGCCAAAAACAUAGACACACAUAAAUGGAAACUAAGGAUUUGAGGUGGAUCUAAUUGUAAAAGAGAAAGUUCAGUUAAAGAACGACAGGCUUUCAGGCAGGUGAAGUUACUGAGAGGAGGAGGAGGAGGAGGGCAGCGCAGAGAGGGGAAAUGGAGAUGGAUUUCCCGUAAAUCAGCUCUAUCCAAUCAGAGCGCAGCCACUCUCAACAUGGCAGCGCGCCAGCAGGAUCAAUCGUUAGAGACAAGUGUAGCUGACUAAAAGAGAGAGAGGAGGGACCGGCUGUGAUAGUGUUAGUAAACGACUGUUUGAUCUCGCACGCUUUGCUCGGUGCAUUUGAAGCUGUAUUUAAAAAAGCGAUGGCUGUACUGUAAUGGAAAGGACAGUGAGCUGACUGCCGGUCUCAUGUGAUCAUGCUGUGUGAAACCGCUCUCAGUGUGAGGAACUACAGGCUACUCGACUGCAUGACUUUCUUGCAACAUUUUUCCAUUGCUCAUGUAUGGAUUGCUGUCAGAUGGAGUUUUAUCUUCCCACAGUGCUAAUUUCAAGAUGCAGCGACCUUUGAACUCCACUGUCCCGUUCUCCCACAUGACCCAAAGAGAUAAUAAAGUUCUAAACUGCCCCGGCUCGAGCCCGGCCUCUCGCACAGAGAGCAAAGGAGGAGAGCUGGACAAAAUAGAUCACCUGAGUAUCUUCCAAAACUACUUCAGGAAUGUCAUGUGUAAAGGAACUGCCAAUUAUGAGUGGACACACAGGACGGAGAAACAAUCCAUUAUUGCACAAGCAGAGUGUGAGUCUCAGGAUUCACAGGAGUUUUGUCCCAAUGGCAGCAUCUCCUCCCAGUCGCUUCUUGGCGCUUUUUCUCGCAGUCGGCCCAGGAAGAAGCGGCAUAAGAAACAUCGGCGAAAACGGGGUGAGAAGGACAGCCGAGCGAGCGAGUCUGUGCAAGUCACCGGAGUGCCAGAACAGGACAGCGGCGAGUUCCAUUCAUCAUCUCUGAUUCAGGUUAUAGAUCCUGUGUGCAUCAGCAGCAGUAUCAAUAAUGCUACAUACAGCAGCAGUGGCCUCAGCACGGAGAGGGUGUCUGUGCAGGAAACAGAGGGCCCGUCAGACUCUUAUCAGUGGGAGCCCCAGCGGACCUCCUUACAGAGCCUCUCCUCCUGCCAGAGCUUCGGAGAUUCUCCCCUGAGAAGUGAGACUGAAUGCUCUCUGGUUUAUACGGCCCUGAGGAACUUUGUUACAACUGAAGGUUGCUGCUUUGCAUACGGCUUUGUCAAAGAUGUGAUGAGAGAGGAGAGGGAGAGGGAUGAGGACGAAAGAGAGGAGAGCGACAAGAAUGAAGGGAUCCUGUUCAAAGAGGGGCUACAGCCAGUGAAUUAUGAGUACAGAGAGGGACGGGAGUAUGAACGCUGUAGAUUCCUCAAGCAGGGCUCCUUCGGAGAAGUCUACACCAUCAAAGACAAAGGCACCGGCUUCAUGUGUGCUGCCAAAAAGGUGCCACUGGUGAGUUUCAGCUGUGAGGAGGUGGGCUCGUGGAGUGCCCUGCAGUCUCCUCAGGUGGUGGAACUCUUUGGUGUGGUGCGUGAAGGUCCUUCCAUCAUCCUUUUCAUGGACCUUAAAUCCAGUUCUUUAGGACAGCUGUUGGAGGAGCGAGGCCGCCUGCCAGAGGAUCUGUCCCUGCACUACCUUCAGCAAGUACUGGGGGCACUAAACCACCUGCAUAGGAAGCGCGUCCUUCACCUGGACAUCAAAGCUGAUAACAUUUUGCUGUCGGAAGAUGGGAAAGAUGCAUUCCUGUGUGACUUUGGAUGCUCAGAGAGAUUGGACAAACAAGGGCUUAGUUAUUGUAAGAGUCUGAAAGGCACAGAAACUCAUAUGGCACCUGAGGUGUUGCUCAAUGAGCCGCGCUCUUCAAAAGCAGACAUCUGGAGCAGCUGCUGUAUGCUUCUGCACAUGCUCAACGGCUGUCAUCCGUGGACCCGCUACUAUUCCCGCCCACUCUUCCUCAAGAUAGCAGAAGAGCCUCCGCCACUGAGGGAAAUUCCAUGUGACUGCAGCUCCUUUACAGCAGAUGUCAUAAAAGCAGGACUGCAGAAAGAUCCAAUCAAACGAGCUUCUGCCAAAGAACUUUUUGUUAAAACUGCCAAAGCACUUAAAGAAGUCGGGGGACUUCACAGCCGCGCAAGAGGAGGACCCUAUCAGAAGCCACUGGGGAAGCCAGAGAAUCCAGACCCCACUUAUUCAGCCACACCCACCACAUCCCCCCACACCACGUCCUCUGAUACCUCUGAGCUGCAGUGGAUGAGCUCGGAGCACAAGAGGAAAGCAGGUGAUGGGGAACGUAAUGAGAAGCCAGAAAAGUUAAAAGAGAGGAAACAGACAGAGGAGACAAGAAACGAUGACCACUGUCCUCCGAAGUCACUGCUCCACAUUCAAAACACUUCACCUGAGCCACGGAUCAUCAAUAAGACCGAGCCGGAGCCGGAACAAGAGCUGAGGAGACUGGAGAAAGAUUUCUACCUGAGCAGUCUUUCCCUGCCUCAUUCUGCUGAGCUACAGGAGCAGCUGCUCUCUUGUAUCUGUAGCGACUGCCCUUCCGCUAGAGAAAACUUUGACAAGAAGGAUUCAGGACGUUUUUCAGACGGUCUUGGCGAUGACCUAAGCUCAGGCGUGUUUUCUUACAAUAGCCAACAAGAUGGGCAGAGCUUCAGCAGGGACUGGCUCGCCCCCCCGCAUAAACCCCCGCCCCGCUGCUUUGACGGGGUGGAUGUUUAUAUCAGGGACUUUGACGGGAAAUGCUUUCACAUUCGGGAGACGCCCGGGGUGAAAGUAGGCCACGUUGCUAGAGGAAUCAGCGAUCAGAUCUCAGAGAACGUGUUCAGUCUGCAAACAGAAGAUGGUUGCUUGGUGCCCCAUGACAAAGAGGUCCUAGAGAACAGCCUGUUUUUGCGUUGUGUGCCGGCCCCUGACUCCAGCCACUAUCAUCAGUACAGACACAGCCACUGCUGCACGCUCGGCCCAAACUGCAAACUACCAUGGAGCUGGAGGAUCCGAGAGGGGGUGCUGGAGACCAAAGGCUGAUCUCUCCAUCCCCAAUCAGCAUUCUGUUCCAAUCAAAAUACUUUUGCAUUGAAUUUGUAUUCAUGAAUUUCAUCUGUGCCUCUCACCUUUCAAACUUUUGAGCCAUUGCCAUAUUAUUGGUUUACAUUCUUAGUAUUCUCAAGUUGUUUAACUGACUGUGCAGAUUUGCUUUUGUUGUGCUGUGUUGUGAAGAUCAUUGUGGGCCUUCAUGGAGUAAUUUGCCGAUCAAGUACAUGCUUUAAACCCUGAGCACUUAUGAAUUAGUUUUCAAUGUCAGUAUGGUUUACCUGUGGGACAUAAAGAUGCAAUAAUCAUUGAUCUCCUCUCUUAGAAUGUUUUAACUGUGUUUCAAAGAAUCCUUCAAUAAAUUUUGUAAACAUUA